AGACCCGAAACCCGGUGAUCUAGCCAUGGGCAGGUUGAAGGUUGGGUAACACUAACUGGAGGACCGAACCGACUAAUGUUGAAAAAUUAGCGGAUGACCUGUGGCUGGGGGUGAAAGGCCAAUCAAACCGGGAGAUAGCUGGUUCUCCCCGAAAGCUAUUUAGGUAGCGCCUCGUGAAUUCAUCUCCGGGGGUAGAGCACUGUUUCGGCUAGGGGGCCAUCCCGGCUUACCAACCCGAUGCAAACUGCGAAUACCGGAGAAUGUUAUCACGGGAGACACACGGCGGGUGCUAACGUCCGUCGUGAAGAGGGAAACAACCCAGACCGCCAGCUAAGGUCCCAAAGUCAUGGUUAAGUGGGAAACGAUGUGGGAAGGCCCAGACAGCCAGGAUGUUGGCUUAGAAGCAGCCAUCAUUUAAAGAAAGCGUAAUAGCUCACUGGUCGAGUCGGCCUGCGCGGAAGAUGUAACGGGGCUAAACCAUGCACCGAAGCUGCGGCAGCGACGCUGAUGCGUUGUUGGGUAGGGGAGCGUUCUGUAAGCCUGUGAAGGUGUGUCGUGAGGCAUGCUGGAGGUAUCAGAAGUGCGAAUGCUGACAUAAGUAACGAUAAAGCGGGUGAAAAGCCCGCUCGCCGGAAGACCAAGGGUUCCUGUCCAACGUUAAUCGGGGCAGGGUGAGUCGACCCCUAAGGCGAGGCCGAAAGGCGUAGUCGAUGGGAAACGGGUUAAUAUUCCCGUACUUGGUGUUACUGCGAAGGGGGGACGGAGAAGGCUAUGUUGGCCGGGCGACGGUUGUCCCGGUUUAAGCGUGUAGGUGUGUGUUCCAGGUAAAUCCGGUUCACUUUAACACUGAGGCGUGACGACGAGGCACUACGGUGCUGAAGCAACAAAUGCCCUGCUUCCAGGAAAAGCCUCUAAGCAUCAGGUAACAUCAAAUCGUACCCCAAACCGACACAGGUGGUCAGGUAGAGAAUACCAAGGCGCUUGAGAGAACUCGGGUGAAGGAACUAGGCAAAAUGGUGCCGUAACUUCGGGAGAAGGCACGCUGACAUGUAGGUGAAGUGAUUUACUCA
Molecule: ribosomal RNA, 1070 nt
Filed under: Salmonella enterica subsp. enterica serovar Hvittingfoss
Lineage: Bacteria; Pseudomonadati; Pseudomonadota; Gammaproteobacteria; Enterobacterales; Enterobacteriaceae
Description: partial 23S ribosomal RNA
Rfam family: Bacterial large subunit ribosomal RNA
Source: RNAcentral